Molecule: long non-coding RNA, 391 nt
Organism: Bactrocera tryoni
Lineage: Eukaryota; Metazoa; Arthropoda; Insecta; Diptera; Tephritidae
Exons: 2
Source: RefSeq, a predicted model, not a curated record
AUAGUGCAUAUUUUAAUGGCAGCCCCAUGUUCUGACAGCUGUCAGUGAAUAAUGCCCAAGUGCAAAUAACAAUAUCCCCUACUGAACCGGCGCAAAAUGCUCGUGAAAUUUUUUCACACCGCACACAGUUUUACUUUGCAGCCUGCGCCAUUCCAUUAAUAGUGAAAAAAUCUUGUGAUGGCAAAGACGUUGGGUGUUCAAUAGACUGUUCACUAAAGACCCCAGCUAUAUCAACAGCAGAAGCGGCUACAUAAACUGAGUAUUUAUUAUACAAAAGGCUAAUAAGGCAGUGUGAAGUAGUAGGAAGUGAAGGAAGAAAGACGAAUAAUUUAAAGAGUGUGAUUUUCUUUGGAAGCGCUUAACGAAUACAAUACAAGGAAGGGGAAACUUU